Molecule: long non-coding RNA, 791 nt
Organism: Gadus morhua (Atlantic cod)
Lineage: Eukaryota; Metazoa; Chordata; Actinopteri; Gadiformes; Gadidae
Exons: 2
Source: RefSeq, a predicted model, not a curated record
AGGUGUGGGUGGAUGUUUUACAUUAUAUUCUUAUGAUACAGGGUGUUUUUGUAAAAACAUCCUGGGUGCUUUUAAAAACACCGCUGCCAGCGGGUUUUUUUCACUGCUCUGGGUGGUUUUCAAGUUGGGAUAAAUUCAACUCGCCAAGAAAAAGCACCCGACGUCAGGCAGUUUUUUGACAGCUGACCAAUGAACGAGAACCUACGUCAAUAGGAAAAACUUUGGAAAUACAAGAAUGGCGACCCAAACGUCUUUCCCGACGGAGCAACUUGUUGUUAUUGUCAGUGAACAUGUUGAGUUGUAUGACAUGACCAACAAAUUAUACCACAACAUACAUCACAAGGAGAGUAUCUGGAGGACGAUCGGUGGGAUUUUGGGACAUUAGUAUUACAUUGGAUGACACAAUGAGUAGUCAACCUGGGCCUGGUUCUUCAAAUGGCAGUUCAUCUAGGCCCCCACCUCAUUCAUCUAGGCCCCCACCCUCUCCAUCUCCACCCCCACAGCCACCUCAACAAGAACAGCAGCAGGAAUUCGGGCCCAUGAGAGCUCAAAGAGGGAGGAAGAGGCAGGCCACUGCAACCAUAACCCCCUAUCAGCAACAGGUCCUCAGUGCCAUUGCUAAAGAGGAGAAUGAGCAUGAGCGUUUCCUGCUGAGCUUUGCACCCACACUGGCAAGGUUGGAGCCUCGCAAACAGGCAUUGCUAAAGUGUAGAAUGCAGUCUCUUUUUUAUGAAAUCGAAUUUGGAGAAUGAAUGAAAUUAUUAAAUUAAAUUAUUACAUUUAAACACAAC